GGUAGGGUUACCCGCUGAACUUAAGCAUAUCAA
This 33-nucleotide ribosomal RNA is filed under the name Fomitopsis quercina. RNAcentral's name for it is "Daedalea quercina partial 28S ribosomal RNA". The record is from RNAcentral. Lineage: Eukaryota; Fungi; Basidiomycota; Agaricomycetes; Polyporales; Fomitopsidaceae.